RNAcentral lists this long non-coding RNA (1827 nucleotides) under Equus caballus (horse). RNAcentral's name for it is "lncRNA (ENSECAG00000054653.1)". Lineage: Eukaryota; Metazoa; Chordata; Mammalia; Perissodactyla; Equidae. The record is from RNAcentral.
GCCUCCUUAUUUUCUCAACCUAAAUGAUGCAUCAGACAUGUCACUUCAAGCCCUGAGCAUGCUGAGUACCAUGAAAGAAACCGCAUGUCUCAGUAGAAAGUUGGGAGAACCUGAGCCUGAAGUUGGGCGAGACGUGGAGCCUGAAUGUCUUCAUUUGUUAAUUGGGGAUAAAAGUACCAACACCAGAGACUCAUUGUGAGUGUUCUUUGAGAUCAGACGUAAGUUCUUAGCACAAGAUCAGUGGUCAAUCACAUUAAUAAAGCAUCAGGACAAAAGCUGGUUAUUUUAAUUCUCUGCAGUUCAAAGCCAGAAUUAGGACAAGACUGCCUUAGGAGAGUUAAAGGGGCAACAGACAAGCUGUAGGAUUCUAAAAUGGCUCUUUAAAGAGAUCAGUAGUGCCCAGGAUAGAAAGAAAAAAAAUGCUGCUAAGACAGAUGAAAUCCCUCUGCAGAGCUCUGUCCCCAGGAGGUGGGAUGGCCACUGCCCCAGCAGGCAGCGUGAGCUAGACGGUCAGAGUCCAAUUCCCACUAUGUCUGCCAGGCAAAUACUUGCCCAAGGACUGCUUAAAAAUAGCAUCAGACGCCACCCACCACCGAAGGUCAGUUUCCAGGAAGGUAGGGUGAGCGGGUGGAAGGUACUGCGCAAGAGGCUCCACACCUGCCCCCGUGGACCCAGAGCUUAAUUUUCAUUUGGUGAUUCCAAUAUGCUGGCAAGGUGAAGAAGCUAGCUGAUCAGCUACAAACAAGGCCCCUGAUUCUAUUCUCACUUAGCACAACCUGAAGAGCAGCUUUUCACUGGAGAAAAGGUCUUGCAGAAAUAGAAAUAUCCGCCUAACAAAGAGGAAGGGAUCGACGGUGCCUGUUUUCCUCUAGUUGUUGAAAAUGGAUGAAGGUUUUUAUUGGGCUAUGUGGAACCCUCUUCCUGACAGAUGGAACCAAGUAAAUUCUUAAAAGUGGCAACGCUGAGAUGAAGCUUAUGAAUAUUUUCAAGGCUUUUGAAAAAACACAGGGAACUUUCCUCCUGAAAGCUUGUACCAACACCUACACUGCAGCGUAUGAGAAUACCUGUCCCACCAUGCCUUUACUGUCCAUGUGCUGCUAUCAAUACAUAUCAAUUAGGAAAAAUGGGUGAUUCCCUAGGGACAACUCAGACCAAGAGAAAGGAAUUAGGUUCCAGCUCUGAGAUUUAGCUUAAAGAGGAAAAAAGCAAAGCAACAAAGAACAAAAUUCUUAUCCCCUUGGGCUGCCCCAAAGGAAUUGGACCAGAAGUCCAUACAGGGGGCAUCUAUUUGAAGCCUCCUGGGUCAUUAUUUCACAAAUCUUCCUUUGCACAAUGGACUUUUUUCUCCUCUUACUCGCAUGCUCAUAAACUCUUAAAUUACAUUUACCUUUACUGGGAUAUAAAGGUCAGAUGUAAUUUACCUAAUAGAACCAACUGAUGGAAAUCUAUACAGAGGAAGAGAUAGGCUCCAAAAGCUAAGAACAUUUUGUCCCUGCCUCUGUGCUGCUCUCAGCAUGUUUUAAAUAUGACCCAGCAUUUGUUAACGGAUACCACAUGUCACCAUCUUUAAAUGACCUUAUCCAUCUUAUCACCACAAUUUCAAACUAAGAAAAAAAACCUCCAUCACCAAAUGAUCCUGAAUGGUCCUGUGUGUCAUGUCAGCCAUCAGCAGCGUUGACGUGGUCAGUAAUUCUUGUAGAUAAUUUAUCAUUUACCAGAUUAUACGGAAAAUAAAAAUCUCUUGAAAAACAUCUCUCUCAAUGUUUGUUUUCGUGGCUCUCGCUAUAACAGUAGUGAAAAGAGAGAAAUUAUUUGAUUAAUUUGGUC